RNA transcript from Mytilus californianus (California mussel), 2041 nucleotides. It is a transcript of the gene named girdin-like, with no coding region annotated. The record is from RefSeq and is a predicted model, not a curated record. The transcript has 7 exons. Lineage: Eukaryota; Metazoa; Mollusca; Bivalvia; Mytilida; Mytilidae.
UGAAAUCGUCUUAUAUGUGUUUCAAAAUAAGUACUUGCAUUUUUGUAGACAUUAGACGUCACUUUAAACACUAGAAUCAUGCAAUUCAUAUGGUUAAACCUCUUAGGUAGUGCUUUGAAGAGAGUAAUGCAUCCAACCGAAAUACAAAAUGAUGGAUCAAAGUUUUCAUGGAAAGAUGGGUAUAUAAUCAUAUGUGGAGUUGUUGUCUUUUACAUCUUAACAUAUUAUAUUGGAGUAUUAGGCAGCUCUGGGUUAUUGGGAGUUAUUGUAGCAUGUUCCUGUUGGAUCAUAUCAAUUCGUGAAAGAAAUGAUACAAUACAACAACUAGACAAGGCAAUUGACAGGAUUCGCAGAGAAAAUGAAUAUUUGAAAUCACAGAUCUUACAAUACAGUUAUUCGACAAACAAAUUACAAGAAAAGAUGUUGGUACAGCAUCAACUUAAACAACUUGAAUCUGAAAACAAAUUGCAUGAAGAAAAACACCUCAGUAGACAAAAGUGUGAGGAAGUUGCCAGAAAUAUGGGGAAAUACAUCACAAGAUGUGAGGAAAAGAGGAAAGACGUAGCAUUAUCAUUGCAGCAACAGCAGUUGGAGAAUCAAAAAUAUAACCGCAUUUGUUCCGAACUGUCGGAAAAUUUGGAUGUUGCUCAUAACGAAAUAAAAUGGACAGAAUCUCAGCUUCAAGCCUCCAUUGCAUACACACAAAGAGAAAGAAGAACACAUGAAGAAUAUGAAAAAAUGUCAAGAACUAGACUUCAAAAAUUAGAAGCAGAAAAAAGAACACAUGAAGAAUAUGAAAAAAUGUCAAGAACUAGACUUCAAAAAUUAGAAGCAGAAAAAAGAACACAUGAAGAAUAUGAAAAAAUGUCAAGAACUAGACUUCAAAAAUUAGAAGCAGAAAAAAGAACACAUGAAGAAUAUGAAAAAAUGUCAAGAACCAGACUUCAAAAAUUAGAAGCAGAAAACAGAGCCUUAAAAGAUAUUCAGAAGAAAUAUGAAGAAAACGUCAUAAGACUCAAAGGUUUGCAAAACACUGUUUCGACAACAUAUAAGGAACUGGAAAGAAUGAAAAAUGAGAAAUGUUCUUGGUCGGCAAAGUCAAACGAGCUAAAGCAAACAAUUAAAGAUAUGGAGAAGGCACAACAUGACGAUUUUUACUCCAAGCGGCAAGUAGAUGCCAUAUAUAAACUCACAUCAGGAAAAACUGACUAUGACAGACUUGGGAUUCGUCCAGGAGCAACAAAGUAUAUUUUAAGAAUUUGUGAUAUAAAACCAUGAUAAAAAAAGCAUAUAUCAAAUUGUCAAAUGUCUGAAGCUAGCUAUGUAUGAUAAUGUUUCCCCACUGGAGUUCUAUGUUGCUUCAGUAGAUUUCACCAUUGUAAAAUAUUAUUUAUAUCAUUUGUCUGCCUCUUGUUACAGUGUAAACUGUCUAGAGUGUUUAUAAAAGUUGAAGUUGAUAUAGUGGCCAUUUUUGAUUUAAGAUCGUCAAAUAAAUCACAUCUUAUCAGUAAUAUAUUAAAAGAAAACAAAGUGAUCAAUUACAUUUUAUAAUAAUUCAUGAUCCAUUUUAUUCAUAUUUAGUUGUUGUUUGACAUUUGAUUUACAUGAGGGUUUGGAUGGGGUCAGAACAGAGAAUAAUGAGUAAAAAGUGAAGUACAAAGGCAAAAAAAUAUAAAGAAUAGAGAAAAAAUCGGCCAAAAAAAUAAAGAAUAGAGAAUAAUGGAGUGCUAAAAUAUAAAGAAUAGAGAAUAACGGGGCGGAUGUGAAGACAGCUUACAAAAAACUAUCUAUAUUGGUACAUCCUGACAAAAACGCAGCCCCUGGAAGUGAAGAUGCAUUUAAAAUCUUACAGAAUGCAAAAAAUAGCUUAUUUAAAAACUGUGUUUAGCAUCUGUUAUUUAUUGAUUAUCUCUCUUUUUUUCUUUUUUUUUGUAUCAAAGUCUCAGUCGGAUUUUUCAUUUUAUUUGAAAGAUCUUUUUAUCAUGUUUAUAUUAAAUCCGUUGUCGUUUAUCGUAUCUAAAUAAAACAAUAAUAAAUAGCG